RNAcentral lists this unclassified non-coding RNA (1238 nucleotides) under Bombus terrestris (buff-tailed bumblebee). Its description in RNAcentral is "misc RNA ENSBTSG00005038210.1". Lineage: Eukaryota; Metazoa; Arthropoda; Insecta; Hymenoptera; Apidae. The record is from RNAcentral.
AGCUAGCCACGAGCAAAAUCAAUAUUGAUUCACUUGUACAACUACCGAUUAAGUAGUUUAGAUUAAGAUAAAGAGGCCUUGAGCUUCGUGAGAUCCAGACGCGGGCAUUAACUGAUUCGAUGGAUAGUUUCACCGUAAACAAAUUUAGUGAUACAGUACAACGGUAUUUAGUUUAUCGACGAGCGUGACCGUAGAAGAUUUAUCUCGGUUGAUUUCUUGGUAGAGCUGAUGUGGAAAAAUACUGUUCCAAAGUUUUGAAUCCAUAAUCGAUUCUUAAUUUAACUAUCACGAGGGAAUAACAAUUUUCCGCUAAUAAAAUUUGUUUACUAAUAUUAAAAAAAAAAGAAAACUUCUUCCAGUCCAUAGAAGUUUUCAAUGAAACACGAUCAACUCCUAAUUUAACCGCUACAAAGAUAAUAAUAAAUCAUAAUCUUCACCGUUUCGUGGAAAAUUCAGGGUCAUUCCUGGAAGAGCAAUUGCACGGCACGAGAAAAAAGGAAACGGGACCUUUGCCUCCCUUCAAUUCAGAGUAUACUCUGCACAUGUCUGGGGAUGCACGAAAAUGGGUACGCUGGUCUCGGUGGGGCCAGUCACAUAUGGUGGUGAGGCUUAUGGGGUGCCCCUCGUUCCUCGAGGCGGCACAACAAAAAAAUAAACCAGCUUCCUUCCGAUGGGGCUACCUUCCACGCUCAGACUGGGCCUAGGCCAUCCGUUAUGUACACGUACGAAGCCAUAAUAAUUAUACAGAUUUAUUCGGCCGGACGAAAUCACGACCGGUAGAAAUGUACGUAGGCCGCAAGACUAGUUAAAAGUUUCAAAUUGAACGUGCAUUCCUAUAUCGUUGGAUUUGACUGGUCACACCUUUCGGUACCUCCAUUAUACCAUGUAAUUUACUGCUUUGACCCACUGGAACUUCAAUUCACAAACUGAUGGUUCGUUACCAUUUUAUCCGUUUCGCAAUUGUUCGAAUUCUGACGUCCUAUGGAUUUCAUUAGUUAAUUUAUGCUUCGUAUUUUAUGAUUGGAAGAUUAACAUUAUGCUUGUGUAUAUUGUAUGCUUAUCGUUAUAUACUAUUGGAGCAUGUAACGUUCUGAUCGUAUAAUUUUGUAAUUAAUUAUGCAAAGAGAUUGAAAUUGCAAGUUUAAAAAAUGUGUUAUUCUAUCGAUUGUAUUCUAUGCUGUAAAGCUUGACGAUCACGUAAUUUUUUAAUCAAUUUUGUAAAAGAAAUUGGAAGUGCC